This 331-nucleotide ribosomal RNA is filed under the name uncultured eukaryote. RNAcentral describes it as "partial 18S ribosomal RNA". It matches the Rfam family "Eukaryotic small subunit ribosomal RNA", at positions 1470 to 1796 of the family's 1831-position model. The record is from RNAcentral.
CCCUUAGAUGUUCUGGGCCGCACGCGCGCUACACUGUUCGACGCAGCGAGUCUUAACCUUGACCGAAAGGUUUGGGUAAUCUUCAGCAAAGUCGAACGUGAUGGGGAUCGAUCAUUGCAAUUAUUGAUCGUGAACGAGGAAUUCCUAGUAAGUGCAAGUCAUCAGCUUGUGCUGAUUACGUCCCUGCCCUUUGUACACACCGCCCGUCGCUACUACCGAUUGAAUGGUUUAGUGAGAUCUCUGGAUUGACGCUGGCUAGGGGGCGACCCUUGGCCAGGCUGUCGAGAAACUGCUCAAACUUGAUCAUUUAGAGGAAGUAAAAGUCGUAACA